GCGGCAGGCCUAACACAUGCAAGUCGAGCGGAAACGAGUUAUCUGAACCUUCGGGGAACGAUAACGGCGUCGAGCGGCGGACGGGUGAGUAAUGCCUAGGAAAUUGCCCUGAUGUGGGGGAUAACCAUUGGAAACGAUGGCUAAUACCGCAUAAUGCCUACGGGCCAAAGAGGGGGACCUUCGGGCCUCUCGCGUCAGGAUAUGCCUAGGUGGGAUUAGCUAGUUGGUGAGGUAAUGGCUCACCAAGGCGACGAUCCCUAGCUGGUCUGAGAGGAUGAUCAGCCACACUGGAACUGAGACACGGUCCAGACUCCUACGGGAGGCAGCAGUGGGGAAUAUUGCACAAUGGGCGCAAGCCUGAUGCAGCCAUGCCGCGUGUGUGAAGAAGGCCUUCGGGUUGUAAAGCACUUUCAGUCGUGAGGAAGGUGGUGUAGUUAAUAGCUGCAUUAUUUGACGUUAGCGACAGAAGAAGCACCGGCUAACUCCGUGCCAGCAGCCGCGGUAAUACGGAGGGUGCGAGCGUUAAUCGGAAUUACUGGGCGUAAAGCGCAUGCAGGUGGUUUGUUAAGUCAGAUGUGAAAGCCCGGGGCUCAACCUCGGAAUAGCAUUUGAAACUGGCAGACUAGAGUACUGUAGAGGGGGGUAGAAUUUCAGGUGUAGCGGUGAAAUGCGUAGAGAUCUGAAGGAAUACCGGUGGCGAAGGCGGCCCCCUGGACAGAUACUGACACUCAGAUGCGAAAGCGUGGGGAGCAAACAGGAUUAGAUACCCUGGUAGUCCACGCCGUAAACGAUGUCUACUUGGAGGUUGUGGCCUUGAGCCGUGGCUUUCGGAGCUAACGCGUUAAGUAGACCGCCUGGGGAGUACGGUCGCAAGAUUAAAACUCAAAUGAAUUGACGGGGGCCCGCACAAGCGGUGGAGCAUGUGGUUUAAUUCGAUGCAACGCGAAGAACCUUACCUACUCUUGACAUCCAGAGAACUUUCCAGAGAUGGAUUGGUGCCUUCGGGAACUCUGAGACAGGUGCUGCAUGGCUGUCGUCAGCUCGUGUUGUGAAAUGUUGGGUUAAGUCCCGCAACGAGCGCAACCCUUAUCCUUGUUUGCCAGCGAGUAAUGUCGGGAACUCCAGGGAGACUGCCGGUGAUAAACCGGAGGAAGGUGGGGACGACGUCAAGUCAUCAUGGCCCUUACGAGUAGGGCUACACACGUGCUACAAUGGCGCAUACAGAGGGCAGCAAGCUAGCGAUAGUGAGCGAAUCCCAAAAAGUGCGUCGUAGUCCGGAUUGGAGUCUGCAACUCGACUCCAUGAAGUCGGAAUCGCUAGUAAUCGUGGAUCACAAUGCCACGGUGAAUACGUUCCCGGGCCUUGUACACACCGCCCGUCACACCAUGGGAGUGGGCUGCAAAAGAAGUAGGUAGUUUAACCUUCGGGAGGACGCU
RNAcentral lists this ribosomal RNA (1436 nucleotides) under Vibrio sp. PaH2.13D2. RNAcentral's name for it is "16S ribosomal RNA". It matches the Rfam family "Bacterial small subunit ribosomal RNA". The record is from RNAcentral. Lineage: Bacteria; Pseudomonadati; Pseudomonadota; Gammaproteobacteria; Vibrionales; Vibrionaceae.